RNAcentral lists this ribosomal RNA (346 nucleotides) under Boophis quasiboehmei. RNAcentral describes it as "partial 16S ribosomal RNA". It matches the Rfam family "Bacterial large subunit ribosomal RNA", at positions 2086 to 2591 of the family's 2925-position model. The record is from RNAcentral. Lineage: Eukaryota; Metazoa; Chordata; Amphibia; Anura; Mantellidae.
AGACCCCAUGGAGCUUUAAACCUGACAGCACCCGCUCAUUCUAUACCCCAUUAUUUGCCCGACCCCUGUCUGCUCAGUUUUAGGUUGGGGUGACCACGGAGUAUAAAAUAACCUCCAUGAAGAAGGGGAUAUUUCCCUUAUUAGAGAACCACACUUCCAAGAACUAAUAAAUUAAUUUUCAAUGACCCGAUACCCGAUAAUCGAUCAACGAACCAAGUUACCCUGGGGAUAACAGCGCAAUCCACCCUGAAAGCCCUUAUUAACAGGUGGGUUUACGACCUCGAUGUUGGAUCAGGGUAUCCCAGUGGUGCAGCAGCUACUGAGGGUUCGUUUGUUCAACGAUUAA